GUAACAAGGUCUCCGUUGGUGAACCAGCGGAGGGAUCAUUACCGAGUUAUACAACUCAUCAACCCUGUGAACAUACCUAAAACGUUGCUUCGGCGGGAACAGACGGCCCCGUAACACGGGCCGCCCCCGCCAGAGGACCCCCUAACUCUGUUUCUAUUAUGUUUCUUCUGAGUAAAACAAGCAAAUAAAUUAAAACUUUCAACAACGGAUCUCUUGGCUCUGGCAUCGAUGAAGAACGCAGCGAAAUGCGAUAAGUAAUGUGAAUUGCAGAAUUCAGUGAAUCAUCGAAUCUUUGAACGCACAUUGCGCCCGCCAGUAUUCUGGCGGGCAUGCCUGUUCGAGCGUCAUUACAACCCUCAGGCCCCCGGGCCUGGCGUUGGGGAUCGGCGAGGCGCCCCCUGCGGGCACACGCCGUCCCCCAAAUACAGUGGCGGUCCCGCCGCAGCUUCCAUUGCGUAGUAGCUAACACCUCGCAACUGGAGAGCGGCGCGGCCACGCCGUAAAACACCCAACUUCUGAAUGUUGACCUCGAAUCAGGUAGGAAUACCCGCUGAACUUAAGCAUAUCA
This 568-nucleotide unclassified non-coding RNA is filed under the name Fusarium keratoplasticum. RNAcentral describes it as "sequence contains 18S rRNA gene, ITS1, 5.8S rRNA gene, ITS2, 28S rRNA gene". The stretch from base 194 to 347 matches the Rfam family "5.8S ribosomal RNA". The record is from RNAcentral. Lineage: Eukaryota; Fungi; Ascomycota; Sordariomycetes; Hypocreales; Nectriaceae.